Molecule: ribosomal RNA, 371 nt
Filed under: uncultured bacterium
Lineage: Bacteria
Description: bacterial SSU rRNA
Rfam family: Bacterial small subunit ribosomal RNA
Source: RNAcentral
GUAGGGAGCAAGCGUUGUCCGGAAUCAUUGGGCGUAAAGCGCGCGUAGGUGGCCUCAUAAGUCCGCUGUGAAAGUCAAAGGCUCAACCUUUGAAAGCCGGUGGAUACUGUGAGGCUAGAGUACGGAAGAGGCGAGUGGAAUUCCUGGUGUAGCGGUGAAAUGCGCAGAUAUCAGGAGGAACACCAAUAGCGAAGGCAGCUCGCUGGGACGUUACUGACACUGAGGCGCGAAAGCGUGGGGAGCGAACAGGAUUAGAUACCCUGGUAGUCCACGCCGUAAACGAUGGGUACUAGGUGUGGGAGGUGUCGACUCCUCCUGUGCCGUCGCUAACGCACUAAGUACCCCGCCUGGGGAGUACGGCCGCAAGGCNA